GUCAUGUUCAAUAUAAACAAAGAACGCAAUGCAUCAGGUAACGUCAAUUCAUAUCAAAGACAAAGAAUUAUUAAAAAUGAAAUAUUGGUAUUGUGUUCCUUGAGUUCCUAUAUUUUACUAGACUACUCAAAGUCUCACGACAACGAGACCGGAAGAAGGAAGUAGAUUUCUGCGUUCUGCGCAAAUGCGGGAAUUAAAAAA
RNAcentral lists this long non-coding RNA (201 nucleotides) under Mytilus galloprovincialis (Mediterranean mussel). Lineage: Eukaryota; Metazoa; Mollusca; Bivalvia; Mytilida; Mytilidae. The record is from RNAcentral.